ACACUCCUACGGGAGGCAGCAGUGGGGAAUAUUGCACAAUGGGCGCAAGCCUGAUGCAGCCAUGCCGCGUGUAUGAAGAAGGCCUUCGGGUUGUAAAGUACUUUCAGCGGGGAGGAAGGCGAUAAGGUUAAUAACCUUGUCGAUUGACGUUACCCGCAGAAGAAGCACCGGCUAACUCCGUGCCAGCAGCCGCGGUAAUACGGAGGGUGCAAGCGUUAAUCGGAAUUACUGGGCGUAAAGCGCACGCAGGCGGUCUGUCAAGUCGGAUGUGAAAUCCCCGGGCUCAACCUGGGAACUGCAUUCGAAACUGGCAGGCUAGAGUCUUGUAGAGGGGGGUAGAAUUCCAGGUGUAGUGGUGAAAUGCGUAGAGAUCUGGAGGAAUACCGGUGGCGAAGGCGGCCCCCUGGACAAAGACUGACGCUCAGGUGCGAAAGCGUGGGGAGCAAACAGGAUUAGAAACCCCUGUAGUCCCAUG
RNAcentral lists this ribosomal RNA (475 nucleotides) under uncultured organism. Its description in RNAcentral is "partial 16S ribosomal RNA". It matches the Rfam family "Bacterial small subunit ribosomal RNA", at positions 333 to 799 of the family's 1533-position model. The record is from RNAcentral.